Molecule: long non-coding RNA, 444 nt
Filed under: Oryctolagus cuniculus (rabbit)
Lineage: Eukaryota; Metazoa; Chordata; Mammalia; Lagomorpha; Leporidae
Description: lncRNA (ENSOCUG00000034563.1)
Source: RNAcentral
GUUUCCCUGUAGCAUUUCUCAGAGUAGGGAUUGUGGGCAGGGGAAUGCUACUUUGAGAGGAGAGGUACCCAAAAAACUUUCCUGACUAUCUUUAUUUCAGGACUCCCAGGGACAUCCCUGCAUUGUAGCAGACAAAGGACCAACUGAUCCUAGCAACACAGCAGCACUCCUGGAGCUCAGAUCAACGCAAUGCUCUGCAUUACCACAGACAGCUGGGGCAGGAGCUCCUCCACCAAUGGAAGGGAAUUUAUUGAAGAAAGUGACCUAAAAUGCAGGUGGUGGAUGAAGAUGAAGGGACUACAACCACAAAUUUCCAUGACUUAUUAUAGGCACGGAUAUUGUCUUUGUCCAUUUUCAGAUGACUGAACCAAUCGAGCAUUUUUUAUUCUUCUGUGAACUUCCAAGUUUUGAGCAAAAAUAAACUUUCUUCCUUCUCAAGUGGCA